This 413-nucleotide unclassified non-coding RNA is filed under the name Hevea brasiliensis (rubber tree). Lineage: Eukaryota; Viridiplantae; Streptophyta; Magnoliopsida; Malpighiales; Euphorbiaceae. The record is from RNAcentral.
UUUCUUUUCCUUUUGCAGGGUGCUUUUUUAAAGCCUUUGUUUUCUAUUUAAAGCACCCAAAAAUACUGGGCAAAGUCAAGAAGUUGAUGCUUAUAGAUAUUUAAGCCUCUUACAUUGAGGUUUUAUUAUUAUCAUUAUUACAAAAGGGUUGGAACCCCAAACCAGGGAAGACAAAGGAGGGAAAACUAUCCCAGUAGUAAUGUCAUAAAGGACCUGACUCAAUCCUGGAGGAGGGCUGUGAAGAUUAUGUAUAUCGGCUGGAAAUGAAAAGGCCAAAGGCCAAAUUAACUAACCAGCUGGAAAUGAAAGUUAUGUAUUUAUGUUGGCUUUAGUCUUCUGCUGCUCUUGUAAACUUGAUUGGAUAAGGAAAUUCAAAUGAUGCAUGAGCAGCAGAAGACUAAAGCCAACAUAAA